This 1504-nucleotide ribosomal RNA is filed under the name uncultured Gammaproteobacteria bacterium. RNAcentral's name for it is "bacterial SSU rRNA". It matches the Rfam family "Bacterial small subunit ribosomal RNA". The record is from RNAcentral. Lineage: Bacteria; Pseudomonadati; Pseudomonadota; Gammaproteobacteria.
AGAGUUUGAUCAUGGCUCAGAUUGAACGCUGGCGGCAGGCCUAAGACAUGCAAGUCGAACGGUAACGACACUAGCUUGCUAGUGGGCGACGAGUGGCGGACGGGUGAGUAACGCGUAGGAAUCUACCUAGUAGUGGGGGAUAGCCAAGGGAAACUUUGGGUAAUACCGCAUACGAUCUGAGGAUGAAAGGGGGCCUCUCUUUGAAGCUCUCGCUAUCAGAUGAGCCUGCGUAAGAUUAGCUUGUUGGUGAGGUAAUGGCUCACCAAGGCGACGAUCUUUAGCUGGUCUGAGAGGAUGAUCAGUCACACUGGAACUGAGACACGGUCCAGACUCCUGCGGGAGGCAGCAGUCGGGAAUAUUGGACAAUGGGGGGAACCCUGAUCCAGCCAUGCCGCGUGUGUGAAGAAGGCCCUAGGGUUGUAAAGCACUUUUAGUAGUGAGGAAGGCUUAGUGGCUAAUAACCACUGAGAUUGACGUUAGCUACAGAAAAAGCACCGGCUAAUUUCGUGCCAGCAGCCGCGGUAAUACGAAAGGUGCAAGCGUUAAUCGGAAUUACUGGGCGUAAAGCGCGCGUAGGCGGCUUGGUAAGUUGGAUGUGAAAGCCCCGGGCUCAACCUGGGAACUGCAUCCAAAACUGUCUAGCUAGAGUAUGGUAGAGGAUGGCGGAAUUUCCUGUGUAGCGGUGAAAUGCGCAGAUAUAGGAAGGAACAUCAGUGGCGAAGCGGCCAUCUGGACCAAUACUGACGCUGAGGUGCGAAAGCGUGGGGAGCAAACAGGAUUAGAUACCCUGGUAGUCCACGCCGUAAACGAUGAGAACUAGCCGUUGGACAUCUUGUAUGUUUAGUGGCGCAGCUAACGCGACAAGUUCUCCGCCUGGGGAGUACGGCCGCAAGGUUAAAACUCAAAUGAAUUGACGGGGGCCCGCACAAGCGGUGGAGCAUGAGGUUUAAUUCGAAGCAACGCGAAGAACCUUACCUACACUUGACAUCCUCGGAACUUUCUAGAGAUAGAUUGGUGCCUUCGGGAACCGAGUGACAGGUGCUGCAUGGCUGUCGUCAGCUCGUGUCGUGAGAUGUUGGGUUAAGUCCCGUAACGAGCGCAACCCUUAUCCUUAAUUGCCAGCGGUUCGGCCGGGAACUCUAAGGAGACUGCCGAUGACAAAUCGGAGGAAGGUGGGGACGACGUCAAGUCAUCAUGGCCCUUACGUGUAGGGCUACACACGUGCUACAAUGGCCGGUACAGACGGUUGCGAACCUGCGAGGGGAAGCUAAUCCGAGAAAGCCGGUCGUAGUCCGGAUUGGGGUCUGCAACUCGACCCCAUGGAGUCGGAAUCGCUAGUAAUCGCGAAUCAGAACGUCGCGGUGAAUACGUUCCCGGGCCUUGUACACACCGCCCGUCACACCAUGGGAGUGGGUUGCACCAGAAGUGGCUAGUCUAACUUCGGAGGACGGUCACCACGGUGUGAUUCAUGACUGGGGUGAAGUCGUAACAAGGUAACCAAGGG